RNAcentral lists this transfer RNA (77 nucleotides) under Planctomycetota bacterium. Its description in RNAcentral is "Planctomycetes bacterium tRNA-Thr". It matches the Rfam family "tRNA". Rfam says of the family: Transfer RNA (tRNA) molecules are approximately 80 nucleotides in length. Their secondary structure includes four short double-helical elements and three loops (D, anti-codon, and T loops). Lineage: Bacteria; Pseudomonadati; Planctomycetota. The record is from RNAcentral.
GCCAGCGUAGCUUCAAUCGGCAGAGCACCGCAUUCGUAAUGCGGGGGUUGGGGGUUCGACUCCCCCCGCUGGCUUCA